CCCUUAGAUGUUCUGGGCCGCACGCGCGCUACACUGAUGCAUUCAACGAGCCUAGCCUUGACCGAGAGGUCCGGGUAAUCUUUGAAACUGCAUCGUGAUGGGGCUAGAUUAUUGCAAUUAUUAAUCUUCAACGAGGAAUGCCUAGUAAGCGUGAUUCAUCAAAUCGCGUUGAUUACGUCCCUGCCCUUUGUACACACCGCCCGUCGCUCCUACCGAUUGAGUGUGUUGGUGAGGAGUUCGGAUUGGCUCUUAGUGGUGGUUCGCCACCACCUAGAGCUGAGAAGUUCUCCAAACCGCCCCACUUAGAGGAAGGAGAAGUCGGAACA
Molecule: ribosomal RNA, 326 nt
Filed under: uncultured eukaryote
Lineage: Eukaryota
Description: partial 18S ribosomal RNA
Rfam family: Eukaryotic small subunit ribosomal RNA
Source: RNAcentral